This 440-nucleotide ribosomal RNA is filed under the name uncultured bacterium. RNAcentral's name for it is "partial 16S ribosomal RNA". It matches the Rfam family "Bacterial small subunit ribosomal RNA", at positions 338 to 795 of the family's 1533-position model. The record is from RNAcentral.
CCUACGGGAGGCAGCAGUAGGGAAUAUUGCUCAAUGGGGGAAACCCUGAAGCAGCAACGCCGCGUGGAGGAUGAAGGUUUUCGGAUUGUAAACUCCUUUUGUUAGAGAAGAUAAUGACGGUAUCUAACGAAUAAGCACCGGCUAAAUCCGUGCCAGCCGCCGCGGUAAUACGGAGGGUGCCAGUGUUACUCGGAAUCACUGGGCGUAAAGAGCGCGUAGGCGGGAUAGCAAGUCAGAUGUGAAAUCCGAUGGCUUAACCAUAUAACUGCAUUUGAAACUGUGAUUCUAGAGUAUGGGAGAGGUAGGUGGAAUGCUUGGUGUAGGGGUAAAAUCCGUAGAGAUCAAGAGGAAUACUCAUUGCGAAGGCGACCUGCUAGAACAUAACUGACGCUGAUGCGCGAAAGCGUGGGGAGCGAACAGGAUUAGAUACCCGAGUAGUC